AUAAUAAUCUAAAAAGAAAUAAUAAUAAUAAAAACAUCACUGAAACAUACCACAUCCCAUUAAAGGAAUACAAAUACAACAGCUUUGAGAAGAACUACUGUACAAUACUGAGGCCAUCACAGAUACAGCUACACUUCAGUAUGAUAUCCCAGUAUCAUGAGAUACUGCUGCUGAGAAAUGGGUUGAUGUGUUGAUUAGCAUAACAGCUGCUCACGUCAACUCCUCAACGGCAUUUAGCGUUUUUCCACAACAGCUGACCACACAACAUGAUGUAUCUCUUCAUGAGCCAGGCUAUUGCCAUUUGAGAGCUUUUGCCGUGAAAAACUAAAUUCUCUCAAGUGUAUAUGUCGUAAUACCGUUGGGAGUGCUCUAAAUACAGUAUAGUGCCAACAUAUUGGCUCUACACAGUAUGAUGAGAAUAGCCAAUUUUCUAUUGCUCACUGAUAUGACCAUAUAUGACUUCACUACUGUAUGUGGAUAUGUGUGGGUCCCUGUCAAUGUGUUUGUUUCUGUGUGUGUCCCUUUGCCUAAGCCGUGGCUCUUUUUUGCCAAAGGUAAUGGUUUCUGUAUGUAAUGAAACCAUUUGGCACACUGAUCCUUUGCCAUUAAGACUUUGUGGCUUUUGAGUGGGGAGAGAAAAAGUCAAUUACAGAAGUGGAGUGAGCCCAGCGCUCAGCAAAGCCUGGCUUUAUGGUAGCAAUUGCACAAGUAUCUUACACCUUUGAACAAAAUGAUGAGGCCAGGAAGGAGAUAUAUUUGGUAAAAUUUCAACUGGGUAACCUUUCAGAACCACACAAAACAAAAAUCCACCCUGCUGCAAGAGAACUGCUCUGUCCCUUUACAAGACAUAAUCAUGUACUAAAAUUAGUUUGACACACCAAGUCAUCUUAUCCACUGUAAUCAUUAAACCAUUACAAGAGGUUGGAUAGAAAUGUAUAAAUUACAAUGUAUUCUGAAUUCACAUGCCACACAAACAUGCAUCUACAGUUACCAUACUGCAGAUGGUAAAGAUAUAAUGGGAUUCCUGUGGAUUUCUCCACAGGAAGGUCAGAGGUGAGGUUGAGCUACAGACUAGCCUCGCUGGAGCUAGUAAGGACUGAGUGAUUUGCUCAAGGACACUUCAGCAGGGUGGAUUCUUGCUGACGAGGGGGCUCGACCCAGAGCCCUUCAGCUGAAGAGCAGUCUCCAUCCUCACUAUGUUGUCUGUCAAAACUAGCAUAAUGAAUUGCAGAUUGCCUUACCAGUUUCUAUAUUACAUGAUGCAUACUAGCUAUAUAUGACGUUAGCCCUGAAUGAAUCAAUCAUAAAUUAGAAUGAAUAAAAAUACUUAAUACGUUUUAUUAUGAUGUUGCUCAAAAUACUCUCAACUUGGAAAUAACUGCAGCCUCUGAAACUGCAAACUCUGCAUACACAUCACACAGCUCACUGUGUGUGAGUGACUGUGUGGUGUAGUGGACUCAGUGUCUUUUACUUCAGUUCUCAGUGACAAGAGUGCCGUUUCUUUGUAGUUGAAGUGCAUGACUGCAUAGCAUCAAAGAGGACAAACUAGGCUCUUUAUUGAAGUGUAGCCGCACUUUCGACCUCCUCUUUGUACUCCUUCCCAUGCACUUCAGUAAAAAGGAAACUGCUCCUAUGCUACAGAGCUGAUCUAAACACAUUCUGCUUCCACACAAGCCUCAACAUAACUCUCAGUCACUCAUACACAAAAAAAUAGUUAAAGGAGGAGGAAUGGAGAGCAAAACAAUAAGGUGAGAAAAAAAUGCAUUUCAAAAGAGAGGGGAAGUCUGCCAGAGUAGAUACGGCGAAAACAUUUAAAUCCAUUUGGUUCAGGAAACAGUGACACUGGUUUGUGGAUGGGACAGGGUCUUGGUUCACAACCCUAAUAUCCAAGGCAGUUCAUGAUGGUGACUUAAAUAGAGAGAGACAGACAGUGAGGACACAGAUGUCUGACCUUGCAGUGGUGCUUAUGUAAUGGUCUGCUUCAGUGCAUUUAACUGCAGUGUUCCUUUCCAACCUGGGAUCAGUAAAGGCAACAUGUCUCUGCAGUCCAAUCUCCUCUGACAUCAGCUCUGACACUCAGAGAGUAUGAAAAGGUCCUGUGAGCUCUGAGUGAAUCAGUUGUUAUGGCCCUGCAUGUGCGGUCCCCAUAGAGCCAAUCAUACUAAUUAAACUAGACUACUUAAGCCUCCUCUCAUUAGUGUCCAAGUAAACAGCCUUAAUUUUUUAUGCAUUUUAAUGUCCAUCUCCCAGUUCUGAGGGUGGCAGUGGAGGGGACAGAUGAACGAUAAAGGGGGAUAAUUUCAGGUUUUCAGAGUUUCAAAGUGUCAUUUCACCAUUCAAGUUAAAUAUGUGUUUGUGGAUUUGCACUGAUCAGUGCGAACUUGCUUUUGUAGGAAUUACUAAUUUAGCAGGAAAAAAAGAAUGUAUUAAUGUUAGUAAUCAUAAUAAUAAAAAGAAGCAGCUUUGCUGACAUUAUUUCAUGAACAUGAUUUUAUAGCUAAGUUAAAACACUAACAGACUCCAUUAUAUGUUAGUCAGCUCCAUGCACUGCAGUUACACAAUCUGCUCCAGAUACCAGGGGCAAGCAGGGUAAAAUGUGGCAUGACCCAAAAAUAGCACUGCAACAUUGGCUUCCACUUGAUUACUGGAGCUGUAAGCAAUGUUUCCACACAUGGGCGGAGGUAUACAGAGGGCUGUGUGCCAUGAUUAUGAAUAUAUGCAUACAUGUUUAUAUACGUAUGUAUGGUCCAUGCACUAGGGAAAGAGUGGAGAGCAACUGGAGGGCUAUUAGCCCAGUCAGCAGUAGGGAGGGAUGGAAGGAUAGAGGAAAAGGAGGAGGGAGCUGGGUAGAGACCUAGCAAGUACCCAACUUGCUCGGCCUGGAGCUCUCGAACAGUGGGUGGCAUCAAAACAACAGGCAGUAGACACUGAGCAUGAUCUCACAGACACACAUAUUGUACUCCUCUGCCUACUUCCAUGUCUGUGCUCCUUUUCUGUUCUCCUGCUGGUCUCCAGCAGUGUCCAAAGGUGGCAGUCAUGUACGAGGCAGGGCAGCUCAAGUUUCAUUUCUAGACCAGCAGCUCAACAGUCGAGACAUAAUGAGCUUUAGCGUUGCCACUCUGCCUCUUACAGCAGCUCAUCUUCCCCACCACAGGAACCUAGAAUGGGGGUCUCCAUAGCAGACUGUUUGCCUGCUUCAGAGUGUGAGGAUGUCUCUGCUGUCCUAGGGACUUUGUUUUAGGGGUGCUGCCGGAUCGUGAGAUCUCAGCAAUUAAUUUACUAUUAUCACCUUCAACCAUAAGUCUGGACUAAAUUACCUAUUAAGAGGAAGUCCUUCAGGCCAGAAAUGAAUCACUGGAGCCACCCUUGAUAACUCUUUCGUCAUUGUGUGUAAGCUACACCUCAGAAAUUGACCUCGGAAACCUCUUUCAGGCUUUUGUGUCCUCAGUUCUCGUCAGACCCUUUCCCCUCUCUCGCAGACAAAAAGAAAUGCAACUCAGAGAGGCGGUGAGGGGGACCUUAACCUGGUAUGGAUGAAGUAGGACGGAGGCUACGCCAGAAAAAAAUAGAAAUCCUCAUCAGCUGCUGAUGAGAAGUCAUCACCAGGAAGCUACAGAUGGAUAGCUUUCACAAAACCCCUCAUUGUUUGUUUGGUCUGAAAAGAACUGUGAUAUGAUACAAUGAAAAGCUAUCACGGACCGCAAAAUAUUGGAUAUUAUGUGUUUGAUACUGUCUUACUG
Molecule: long non-coding RNA, 3740 nt
Organism: Siniperca chuatsi (mandarin fish)
Lineage: Eukaryota; Metazoa; Chordata; Actinopteri; Centrarchiformes; Sinipercidae
Exons: 4
Source: RefSeq, a predicted model, not a curated record